RNAcentral lists this small RNA (1178 nucleotides) under uncultured bacterium. RNAcentral's name for it is "bacterial SSU rRNA". The stretch from base 1 to 468 matches the Rfam family "Bacterial small subunit ribosomal RNA", at positions 1045 to 1533 of the family's 1533-position model. The record is from RNAcentral.
UUGGCUGUCGUCAGCUCGUGUCGUGAGAUGUUCGGUUAAGUCCGGCAACGAGCGCAACCCACAUCUUUAGUUGCCAGCAGUUCGGCUGGGCACUCUAAAGAAACUGCCCGUGAUAAGCGGGAGGAAGGUGUGGAUGACGUCAAGUCCUCAUGGCCCUUACGGGUUGGGCUACACACGUGCUACAAUGGCAGUGACAAUGGGUGAAUCCCAAAAAGCUGUCUCAGUUCGGAUUGGGGUCUGCAACUCGACCCCAUGAAGUCGGAAUCGCUAGUAAUCGCGUAACAGCAUGACGCGGUGAAUACGUUCCCGGGCCUUGUACACACCGCCCGUCACACCAUGGGAGUUGGUUCUACCCGACGACGCUGCGCUAACCCUUCGGGGAGGCAAGCGGCCACGGUAGGAUUAGCGACUGGGGUGAAGUCGUAACAAGGUAGCCGUAGGGGAACCUGCGGCUGGAUCACCUCCUUUCUAAGGAUGAUCUUAGUCAGAUAAGUUCGCUUAUCUCGUAGAUCACUUAGCAGUGCUUUAAGCACAUAAGCUAGGUUUCUUCGGAAACUUAGUAACGGUACCAGGCCGUCCUCGUAUCUCUUCAUCGUCAUCACGGGCUACCGCCCGUUUGGGUCGGUAGCUCAGGUGGUUAGAGCGCACGCCUGAUAAGCGUGAGGUCGGAGGUUCAAGUCCUCCUCGACCCACCAAAAAAAAGGGGGCGUUAGCUCAGAUGGGAGAGCACCUGCUUUGCAAGCAGGGGGUCAUCGGUUCGAUCCCGAUACGCUCCACCAUUUACACGUUAAAUGGAUCACCAAGUACACAUUAGUGUUUUUGGUCGUCCAUUUGGACGAAUUGAAAUCGUAUAGAGAGAAAAAACAUCAGUUUUGUUUAUUGCGUAGCCGAGUGUGGUUGCGCGGGCUUUUAUUAGCAAAAAUAAACAGAAUUAAUCCAAGUCAAGUAAACUAACCAAAACUAUAAGUUCUUACACUUGAACCAGCGUAAGAACUUGGGAAAAUUUACUCUUUUGUUCUAGAUAAAGCCUAGCUUUUUCUGGAUCAAAUCAAGCGCGAAAAGGGCGUUUGGUGGAUGCCUUGGCAGUAAGAGGCGAUGAAGGACGUGAUACUCUGCGAUAAGUCGUGGUGAGCCGAGAAUAGGCUUUGACCCGCGAAUCUCCGAAUGGGGAAACCCGG